UACGGAGGGGGCAAGCGUUAUCCGGAUUUACUGGGUGUAAAGGGAGCGUAGACGGCGGUGCAAGCCAGAUGUGAAAACCCGCGGCUCAACUGCGGGACUGCAUUGGAAACUGGCGGGCUUGAGUGCCGGAGAGGCAAGCGGAAUUCCUAGUGUAGCGGUGAAAUGCGUAGAUAUUAGGAGGAACACCAGUGGCGAAGGCGGCUUGCUGGACGGUAACUGACGUUGAGGCUCGAAAGCAUGGGGAGCAAACAGG
RNAcentral lists this ribosomal RNA (253 nucleotides) under uncultured Eubacteriales bacterium. RNAcentral describes it as "uncultured Clostridiales bacterium partial 16S ribosomal RNA". It matches the Rfam family "Bacterial small subunit ribosomal RNA", at positions 524 to 776 of the family's 1533-position model. Lineage: Bacteria; Bacillati; Bacillota; Clostridia; Eubacteriales. The record is from RNAcentral.